UGCAUAAUUAGAUAGAACAAUAACGUUUUAAUGCACAGAGAAAGGGACACUUUAAACCGUUAAUUGUACAGUUUAACUAAACAUAUUCGCCUACAAUUUACAUGCAAUAUAGCCGAAAUGACGCCCCCACUUAAACCCAGUUUAAUUCUGCCGAUUUGAAAAAGUACUAACGUGUCUUAUUUAUAUUUUUAAUGAAAUGAUAAAAUUAG
RNAcentral lists this long non-coding RNA (209 nucleotides) under Mytilus galloprovincialis (Mediterranean mussel). Lineage: Eukaryota; Metazoa; Mollusca; Bivalvia; Mytilida; Mytilidae. The record is from RNAcentral.